CACAACAAUGAUGAGCCAUGUUCGCUUGCUUCAGCGGCCUCGAUUUCAUCAUUGACACUUGCACGGAAAACUACGGACUUUUACGGAUAUAACAGACUUGAAAAUACAGUUUAUGAAAAUAAAUAAAAAGAUGAAUUUACAAUUCAAACUAAUGUAAAACGAGAGAAGGUAACUAUAUUUUUUUAAAAAUGUAAACGAUUAUGUAAUGAUAACUAAUUCCAAUGUUCAUGCUUAAAUUUAGUACCACAAAUUAUAAUUUCUAUUUUAAUUCAACCUAGAGAUUUCACUUCUUUAAGGUUUAGCUGUCUUUGAAAAUGUAAAAUGGAAUGCUGAGAAAAGUUCUUUAUGCAGACGACAUUUUCAGGGGAAAAAAAAUGAAAAGAUUUUGAUUGAUGAACAUAAAAGGAAUUUUAAAUAAGAUGAAUAAAAAAAAAAAAAUUGUUUAUGGUUUAAUUUUAA
This is a long non-coding RNA of Octopus bimaculoides (California two-spot octopus), 459 nucleotides long. The record is from RefSeq and is a predicted model, not a curated record. NCBI's taxonomy places the organism in Eukaryota, Metazoa, Mollusca, Cephalopoda, Octopoda, Octopodidae.